GAACCAUUUCUAAAAUUGGAACCCAAAUCGUCCACCUCAUCCUCCAGUCUCUUGUCUUUUUGGAUUCCUUUCCUGAACAGUCCCCCUCUGUGCUUUGCUGGGUCCCUUUCCUUCUCUGACCUCAGUCAGUCACAGAGGGUGUCUUUCACAUCCCUUCCAGCCGUCUGUCCAGCCGGCCUCUUUCCUUCACCUGUUGCGCAGAGCCACAGCCAGGCUCGUUCAUCUGGGGCUUCUUGGCGCCUGUACCUGGGAUGCAGGGCGUGGUCCAGAAAGAUCGUCUCAUGUGGAGGGUCAGGCCGGCCCAACUGUCACGGCCUCCAAGCUCAGCUGGGCUUUAAAGACUGCCUUCCAGCCCUUGGCGCAGUUUCCCGUCCCGUUUUCCUAAGCCUUCUUGCCAGACUUUUACUUCCCUCAAACCUACUCCACCCCUUCUGCAGACACACCCACUCUCCUGGGCCUGACGACCUGCCUCCCAGUUCCCAGAGAAGACCUGCUGCCGCCACCUUCCCUGCCGUCAAGGUCAUUACCUCCCGCACGCACACGGCUCUCCCCCUCCCCGGGGGCUUCCCUCCUCGGCCUUCCUCUGGCCACUCUGCAUUUCCAGCUUCCCUCUCUCCACUGGCUCUUUUCUGCCACUCGCGAUGUUCAGGUUUGCGACAGCUCGCGUCUCUCUUCACGUGGCUUUGCUUCUCUGUCUGCGCUCGCUCGGCGCCCUGCGUCUUGGCUCCCGGGAGCCACCGCCCUCACACCUUCCUGCCCUCCCUGCCCACUCUGCAUUCUCGGCCGGUCCUUCAUCCUUGCUCUGGUGGCCCACACUCCCGGCUUCUUGGGCUUCUUCCCCGGCCUCCCUGCUGCUCUCUGCUCUUGGGCUGCUCUUGCGCUGCGUUGCCCCUAAGGCUUCUGUGCUUAGCCUUCGUCUUCUCCCCAGAUCUGCGUUCCGAGCAAACUCCCCCAAAGCAGUGUUUUUUGCUGCUCCUGCUAACACGCUCUGAGUUUCCUUUCCGGGCGCCUCUGCUGUGCUUCGGAACCUCAUAG
RNAcentral lists this long non-coding RNA (1035 nucleotides) under Felis catus (domestic cat). Its description in RNAcentral is "lncRNA (ENSFCAG00000049306.1)". The record is from RNAcentral. Lineage: Eukaryota; Metazoa; Chordata; Mammalia; Carnivora; Felidae.